AGGAUAGUAGUUAAAUAUAACACCUGGUUUGCAGUUAGGAGGUGCUAAUUCAAUUAGCCUAUCUUA
RNAcentral lists this transfer RNA (66 nucleotides) under Chlorogomphus shanicus. Its description in RNAcentral is "tRNA-Ala". It matches the Rfam family "tRNA". From Rfam's summary of the family: Transfer RNA (tRNA) molecules are approximately 80 nucleotides in length. The record is from RNAcentral. Lineage: Eukaryota; Metazoa; Arthropoda; Insecta; Odonata; Chlorogomphidae.